This 73-nucleotide transfer RNA is filed under the name Bos taurus (domestic cattle). It matches the Rfam family "tRNA". From Rfam's summary of the family: Transfer RNA (tRNA) molecules are approximately 80 nucleotides in length. RNAcentral also lists the same sequence under 4 other names. Lineage: Eukaryota; Metazoa; Chordata; Mammalia; Artiodactyla; Bovidae. The record is from Rfam by way of RNAcentral.
UCCCUGGCAGUCCAGUGGUUAAGACUCUGCACUUCCAAAGCAGGGGAUGCAGGUUUGAUCCCUGGUCAGAGAG